CGGGGUUUCUAAUCAGGUGACUUGGCGUUCAUCAGAAGGGAGGUUGAUCUGGCCGAGCCUGGCUAGCUCAGGUGCACCCUUUAAGAGGCUGGAAGCCACAGAGCCGCCCCCUCCUGAUGCCAAAGAAGCAUAUGGCCAUCGGCUCCACAGCUGCGAGAAAGAUUAUGCACACAACGACAUGCGCUCAGGAGGGGACCUCGCGCCUCGGUUGAGAUCCCAGCCCUGGCUGACACCUUGAGUGCAGCCUGUGAGACCCUGAGCAGAGGUUCAGCAGUCCCCUCCCCGGACUCCUGCCACACAGAAGCCAUGAGGCAUCCCCAUCACACACUAGGCUUGGUGACUGCACUUGAGGGACUCACAGGACUUAGCCUACCAUCAUACUAGUGGCUGGGAUUUACUACGGUGAAAAGAUGCGACGCAGAAUUAGUAACAGGAAGAUGCAUUUGGGGUGAGGGCCGGAGGAAACCAGCUGACAGAACCAAGGACACACACCUUGUUAACGACGCCCUCAAGGCUGUGAGGAGAAAGACAACCGGGUGAAGCAACGCUGGGAAUUCAACGCAUCAAUUACCUUCCCAGGUAACAGCAGCUACUUGAGCUCCUAAGAGUUGACCUUCAGCUGCUGUCAUGGAAAAUAGUGGGGGUCAACUAGACAUCAAAGAUGAAAGGCCAGGCCUCCAGCACAACUUUCUCUGUAAGCUCGAUAGUGGCUUUCUCAAAGAAAUCCUUUUCUCAAAAAAAUUUCUUGUAAAGACAGGGUCUUGUUCUGUCACCCAGGCUGGACUGCAGUGCAUGGCUCACUGCAGCCUCAACCUCCCGGGCUAGAGUGAUCCUCCCCUUUUCUGAGGAGCUCAGACCACAAGCGUGCACCACUGUGCCCAGCUGAUUUAUAAACUUUUUUUUUAGAGACAGGGUUUCACCAUGUUGGCCAGGCUGUUUUCUUUCAAGGUUUCACCAUGUUGGCCAGGCUGUUUUCUUUUCUUCUCUUUUUUUGAGAUGGAGUUUCACUCUUGUUGCCCAGGCUGGAGGGCAGUGGCGCGAUCUUGGCUCACUGCAACCUCCGCCUCCCAGGUUCAACGAUUCUCCUGCCUCAGUCUC
RNAcentral lists this long non-coding RNA (1098 nucleotides) under Homo sapiens (human). RNAcentral's name for it is "HSALNT0384143". The record is from RNAcentral. Lineage: Eukaryota; Metazoa; Chordata; Mammalia; Primates; Hominidae.